This 442-nucleotide ribosomal RNA is filed under the name uncultured Methanosarcina sp. Its description in RNAcentral is "bacterial SSU rRNA". It matches the Rfam family "Archaeal small subunit ribosomal RNA", at positions 372 to 814 of the family's 1478-position model. The record is from RNAcentral. Lineage: Archaea; Methanobacteriati; Methanobacteriota; Methanomicrobia; Methanosarcinales; Methanosarcinaceae.
AAGGGGACGGCGAGUGNCAGCAUCAUAUGCUGGCUGUCAGGGUGUGUAAAAUACACCUGUUAGCAAGGGCCGGGCAAGACCGGUGCCAGCCGCCGCGGUAACACCGGCGGCCCGAGUGGUGAUCGUGAUUAUUGGGUCUAAAGGGUCCGUAGCCGGUUUGGUCAGUCCUCCGGGAAAUCUGAUAGCUCAACUAUUAGGCUUUCGGGGGAUACUGCCAGACUUGGAACCGGGAGAGGUAAGAGGUACUACAGGGGUAGGAGUGAAAUCUUGUAAUCCCUGUGGGACCACCUGUGGCGAAGGCGUCUUACCAGAACGGGUUCGACGGUGAGGGACGAAAGCUGGGGGCACGAACCGGAUUAGAUACCCGGGUAGUCCCAGCCGUAAACGAUGCUCGCUAGGUGUCAGGCAUGGCGCGACCGUGUCUGGUGCCGCAGGGAAGCCG